UAGCUCAACUGGUAGAGCACGACAUUAAGGUUGCCAGGGCUAGGGGUUCGAUUCCCACUGGGACUGA
This is a non-coding RNA of Merluccius polli (Benguela hake), 67 nucleotides long. The record is from the annotation of a GenBank genome assembly. NCBI's taxonomy places the organism in Eukaryota, Metazoa, Chordata, Actinopteri, Gadiformes, Merlucciidae.